GGCAGGCUUUGCCUUUUCUGGUAGUUAAAGCUGCUGAAAGAGCAAGCAGGAAUUCUUUGUGCUGCAGAAGGGCUGAGAUAUAAACCAGACUGUAGAAGUUGAUAUAGGGAGAGACAAGGGACUGCUGUCCAUGGACUAAGCUUCAGCUACUCCUAAGUGAGAACGUGAGGAGAACCUUUCAGGCAUCAUGGAUGAUGAUUUUGACCGUCGCAUGGAGCUAAGGAGGCAGAGGAGGGAGCAAAUGCGCCUUGAGGCAGAGAAGAUGGGAGGGGUCACCAACGAUGAUGAUGAUGAGGAGGCUCGGGAGCGGAGGAGACGUGCCAGGGAGGAGAGAAAGAAGAUGAGGGAGCAGGAGGAGUCUGGUGGCACUGAUACCAUCAGUACUAACAGUGUUACAGAGUCUACCACUAGUACCGAAGGUGCAGACGAUGACCAGGCCUUGCUGGAUCGCCUGGCCAAGAGGGAGGAGCGCAGACAGAGGAGGAUGAAGGAGGCCAUGGAGAGACAGAAGGAGCUUGACCCCACCAUCACCAUCACCACCACCAAUGGCACAGAUGCUGCCCUGGAGGAGCAGUCAUCCUCUCGCAUGAGCAGACACCGAGUCACAGAAGAAGACGAGGAGAAGAAGGAAGAGACACCGGCCAAGGAGGAGGUGACGACCGACGAAUCUGAUUUCAGGAGGAGAGAGGAAGAAGAGAAGGAGGAGGAGAGGGUAGAGCCUCCAAAAGUGGAAGAGCCUGCAGCUGCUCCUGAACCAGAAGCUGUGCUUAAGAGGGAGGAGAAGCCAAAACGACUUGGUUUUAGGGAAAAGAAUGAGCCAGCCAAACAGAAUGGAGCUCUCAUUGAGAACAAACUUAAGAAACCAGAGAAGACCUUGAGCGCUGAAGAAGUGGAGCGACAGGAGGCAGAGCGUAAGCUGCAGGAGUUGAAGCGUCGGCGAAAUGAUGCAGAAAGCGAGGAGAUUGAGAAGAUGAAGCUGAAGCAGCAGGAUGCCGAGGCAGAGCUGGAGGAGCUGAAGAAGAAGAGAGAGGAGAGGAGGAAGAUCCUGGAGGAGGAGGAGAGACAGAAGAAGCAGGAGCUUGCAGACAAGAAAGCCAAGGAGCAGGAGGAAAGGAAGAAGAUGAGGGAGGAGAUAGAGAAGAGGAGGGCAGAAGCUGCAGAGAAGAAAAAACAAAAGGAAGAAGAGUCUGCUGAUGCAAAGCCCUCCUUCACUGUCAGCUCCAAAGGCUCCUCAAAGAUUGGGGAGAAGGCAGAAUUCCUGAACAAGUCAGCCCAGAAAAGCAGUACAGCCAGAACGUCACAUACUCCAAUUGUCUCCAAGAUAGGCAACAGACUGGAACAGUACACUUCAGCCUUACAGGGAAGCAAAGAAGUCAAGUCCCCCAAGUCUCCUGUGCCGGAUAUUCCCUCUGGAGGCACGCGCAGCAUCAAGAGCAUGUGGGAGAAGGGCAACAUCGGCAGCCCUUCUGAAAGCCCAGCCACCUCAAAUAAGGAUGCUGCUGGUAUCAAAGUAGGCGUGGCUGGACGUGUCAACAGUUGGAUGGCAAAACCCGCAGAGGCCGACAAGACGGCACCGGCAGCAGCACCAGCACCGGAAAAACCAGCUGAGGUGAAACCAGGUGAUGUUGGCAACAAGCGUGGCCUAUGGGAAACCAAGAAGAGCUCUGCGCCUACCAAGUAGACCUAAUGGAUGGAUGAAAGAGGUGACAUUUGGGGGCAAGAGAAAUUUUGUCACUAAUGCAGGCGCAAGACCUUAACCACUGACAUCCCCCUGAAAAAAAAAAAAAGCCUUACUCGACCAAAAGCAUGACUGCUGCAGUGUGUGUAUUCGUUCCCCUAUAAUCUCCCUGUUUCUCGCACAAGGUUCACACCAGAGUGAGCAAAGGACAAGGGACCAGGAGUCACAUUUAAAAAAAAAAAACAAAAAAACAAAACAAAGGCUGCAAUCUUCCGAUUUGAGCUGAAAACCAUAAAGACUUCUAUAUUUUUGUAACUAACGUUU
Molecule: RNA transcript, 2002 nt
Organism: Myripristis murdjan (pinecone soldierfish)
Lineage: Eukaryota; Metazoa; Chordata; Actinopteri; Holocentriformes; Holocentridae
Gene: cald1b
Gene name: caldesmon 1b
Exons: 16
Source: RefSeq, a predicted model, not a curated record